This 1750-nucleotide unclassified non-coding RNA is filed under the name Hevea brasiliensis (rubber tree). Lineage: Eukaryota; Viridiplantae; Streptophyta; Magnoliopsida; Malpighiales; Euphorbiaceae. The record is from RNAcentral.
GACAAAGAGAGUAUAAAAGUGAAGGAAAAAUUAAAAUAAACGAGAAAUAGUGAGAUAGGAUUCUUAAAUGGCCUGUUCUCACCUGAGAUGCCAUUUUGCAAGACUAGCACUUGUAUACAAGUCUUGACUAUUCCGCCAAGGCGAUUCUCAACUACCAGCCCCGGAUUUUCAAAUCAAAUCGCCGGCAAUGGGCCAUCGGAAAAUCCUUUUCCCAGCGAGCCGCUUGGGUUUGUUCUUUAUACUUUACCUGCUUUCAUCCACUUGCGUUUCCUUUUCCUUUCCGUUUGUGAAGCCCAAGCAACACAAAAUCAACGGACCCAUCAAAACUCUUGUCAUUUUGGUGAUGGAAAACCGGUCUUUUGAUCAUAUUCUGGGUUGGCUCCAUAAGAGCCGACCCGAUAUUGAUGGGCUUAAGGGGUCGGAGUUUAACAGGGUUAAUGCUUCAGACCCUUAUUCUUCCAAAAUCUUUGUCUCGUAUGAUGCUGUAUUCGUUGAUUCUGAUCCAGGUCACUCUAUUCAAGCUAUUGGGGAGCAGAUAUUCGGGUCGAAUGAUUCUUCAGCAAACCCAGCUCCGAUGAACGGGUUCGUGCAACAGGCUGUUAGUAUGGGGGUACCUGGUAUGGAGCAGACCGUGAUGAGCGGGUUUAAACCGGAGUUAUUACCGGUUUACACUGAUUUAGCGAAUGAGUUUGGGGUUUUUGACCGGUGGUUCGCGUCGGUUCCAGCUUCAACUCAGCCGAAUCGGUUUUACGUUCACUCGGCAACUUCUCACGGAGCUUCCAGCAAUGUCCGUAAAGACUUGAUCCAUGGGUUCCCUCAAAAGACUAUAUUUGAUUCUUUGGACGAAAAUGGCCUUUCAUUUGGAAUUUAUUACCAAAACAUUCCAGCUACCUUAUUUUUCAAGUCACUCAGAAAACUAAAACACAUUUUUAAGUUCCAUAAUUAUGCAUUAACGUUCAAAAUACACGCUAAACUUGGCAAACUUCCAAAUUACGUUGUGAUUGAACAGAGAUAUUUCGAUGUUAAAAUUGACCCAGCAAAUGAUGAUCAUCCAUCACACGAUGUAGCACUUGGACAAAAAUUUGUUAAGGAGGUGUAUGAGACAUUGAGGGCAAGUCCACAGUGGAAAGAAAUGGCACUCUUGAUUACAUAUGACGAACAUGGUGGCUUCUUUGAUCAUGUACCAACUCCUGUUUCUGGUGUGCCUAAUCCUGAUGGCAUUAUCGGGCCUCCACCAUAUUACUUCAGAUUUGACCGCUUGGGGGUUCGUGUCCCCACCUUCUUGAUUUCACCAUGGAUUGACAAGGCCACUGUGAUCCAUGAGCCGAAAGGUCCAACUACGUCUUCACAAUUUGAGCAUUCUUCCAUACCAGCAACUGUGAAAAAGCUUUUUAAUCUGAAAUCAAGUUUCUUAACCAAGCGAGACGCAUGGGCUGGGACAUUUGAGAACUAUUUCCGCUUGCGUAAGACUCCUCGUGAUGAUUGUCCAGAGAAACUUUCGGAGGUGAUGAUAAAUCUAAGACCAUGGGGACCAAGAGAAGAUGCAAAGCUCUCUGAAUUUCAAAUAGAACUGAUCCAGCUUGCUUCACAGCUUAAUGGAGACCAUGUUCUGAAAAACUACGCUGAUAUUGGACGGAAGAUGAGUGUCCGUGAAGCUGAUGAAUACGUAGAUGAUGCAGUCAAUAGGUUCUUGGAAGCUGGUAGCGCUGCUCUGAGAACUGGAGCGAAUGAGAGUGCCAUUGUUGCAAUG